This 476-nucleotide ribosomal RNA is filed under the name Plasmodium chabaudi adami. RNAcentral describes it as "eukaryotic LSU rRNA". It matches the Rfam family "Eukaryotic large subunit ribosomal RNA", at positions 2941 to 3401 of the family's 3401-position model. The record is from RNAcentral. Lineage: Eukaryota; Apicomplexa; Aconoidasida; Haemosporida; Plasmodiidae.
UAAUAGGGAACGUGAGCUGGGUUUAGACCGUCGUGAGACAGGUUAGUUUUACCCUACUGAUGAAUUUAUUAUUUAUAUAAUGUAUUGUGACAGUAAUCCAACUUGGUACGAGAGGAUUAGUUGGUUCAGACAAUUGGUACAGCAAUUGGUUGACAAACCAGUGUUGCGAAGCUAAGUCUGUUGGAUAAUGGCUGAACGCCUCUUAAGCCAGAACCCAUGCUGAUUAAACAAUACUAUUUCGUUCUUCUUUGUUUCCACUUUUACUGCUGAUGUAAAAGAGAAGCUAUAUGUAUAACUUCUGUUAUACAAUUAAUCCCAUUGCCAUUUGGAGGCUUGCCUCCUUUUGGUUACUGUAAUUAACAACAAAGAUGAAUUACACAAACUGUAGACGACUUUUUGGCCUCGGGGUGCUGUAAACAUGAAAGUAAACUUUGUUUUACGAUCUGUUGAGGCUUAUCCUCUGUGGUAAAGUGUUC